This 458-nucleotide ribosomal RNA is filed under the name uncultured bacterium. RNAcentral describes it as "partial 16S ribosomal RNA". It matches the Rfam family "Bacterial small subunit ribosomal RNA", at positions 28 to 507 of the family's 1533-position model. The record is from RNAcentral.
GGUGAACGCUGGCGGCGUGCUUAAGACAUGCAAGUCGAACGGGCUCUUCGGAGCCAGUGGCGCACGGGUGAGUAACGCGUAACUGACCUACCCCAAAGUCGCGGAUAACGAUUCGAAAGAAUCGCUAAUACGUGAUGUGCUGUCAGAUCCUGUUCUGCCAGUAAAGAUUUAUUGCUUUGGGAUGGGGUUGCGUUCCAUCAGCUAGUUGGUGGGGUAAAGGCCCACUAAGGCGACGACGGAUCGCCGGCCUGAGAGGGUGGCCGGCCACAGGGGCACUGAGGCACGGGUCCCACUCCUACGGGAGGCAGCAGUUAGGAAUCUUCCACAAUGGGCGAAAGCCUGAUGGAGCGACGCCGCGUGAGGGAUGAAGGUCUUCGGAUCGUAAACCUCUGAAUCAGGGACGAAAGACGCGAAAGCGGGAUGACGGUACCUGAGUAAUAGCACCGGCUAACUCCGUG